Molecule: long non-coding RNA, 2414 nt
Filed under: Macaca mulatta (Rhesus monkey)
Lineage: Eukaryota; Metazoa; Chordata; Mammalia; Primates; Cercopithecidae
Description: lncRNA (ENSMMUG00000064462.1)
Source: RNAcentral
AUGCCCGAACCCACACUUAAAAUGAAAAGUCAACAGCUAUUCAUUCCUGAGGGUGGCCUUGAGCUGACCCUAGUGAGUGCCUUGUUUUCUAUGGUUAGAGACGCUGACCUACAUAAUCACCUUUUCUCCAGACCUGAGCCCCGGGACUUGAGAAACACCAAGCGUAAGACAUCAUCAACCCCCGGGUGUUCUGAAGCCCCACUCCUUUUCUCUUUCUUGACCAUUGUUGCUGAAUGUGAAGAUCCCCACCUUUCCUGCCCUCCUGGGGACCUUAGGAAUUCUGCUCCUCAUUGCAGGUUGAACUCCAUCCAAACUUCAGGACCCAUCCUGUCCAUGACAAGGGGACAUUCAAGAAACUCUUACAUUCAUGGGUUUUGUACUCAUAGUUCUGUCUACUCUGGUGUGACUUGAUCUAGUCACCCAUAAGUUUGCUAUGAGAAGAGUUUGAAUCCUCAGCCUUCAGACAGAAGCAUGAGUCAGUGACUCAGCCGCAGGGUGACUUUGGCUUCUGACAUCCAGUAGCCCCACCUUGGUGCAUGUUCCUGGUUCUUUACACCUUAUGGCAUGGACAGUUGUCAUCAUACACUCAACAGUCUUUCCCAAAAUGGGUGGUCAUGAAGUUGGAGAUUUCCAAACAACACGGCAUGUCUCUUUCAUAAAUAUGAGUUAAGCACAUGAAAAUUGGAUUCAGGGGCCGGGCGCGGUAGCUCAUGCCUGUAAUCCCAGCACUUUGGGAGGCCGAGGUGGGCAGAUCACGUGAGGUCGGGAGUUCGAGACCAGCCUGACAAAUAUGAAGAAAACCUGUCUCUACUAAAAAAACAAAAUUAGCCAGGCGUAGUGGCACAUGUGUAAUCCCAGCCACCCGGAAGGUUGAGGCAGGAGAAUCACUUGAACCCAGGAGAUGGAGGUUGAGGUGAGCCGGGAUUGCACCAUUGUACUCCAGCCUGGGCAACAAGAAUGCAACUCCGUCUCAAAAAAAGAAAAGAAAAGAAAAUUAGAUUCAGGCAGACUUGGGCUCUGUCCUGACACUGGAUGUAAGAUCUUGACUGAAUUAGCCUUGCUAAGCUUCAAUGUUCUCAUCGUUAUAAUAGAGGUUUCCAUAAUUACUAUUAAAUAAGAUAAUGUAUAUAAAGUGCUGAGUGCCAUGCUCAGCACAUACAGUAAAUGAACAAUAAAUGGUACAUCAGAAUGAAUUUCAGAUGGAUCAAAGAUUGAAAUGUAAAAAGUAAAAUAAUAAAAAUAAUUGAAGACUGCCAGCCACAGUGGUUCACGCCUGCAAUCCCAGCACUUUUGGAAGCUGAGACAGGCGGAUCAUUUGAGGUCAGGAGUUCAAGACUAGCAUGGCCAACAUAAUGAAACCCUGUCUCUACUAAAAAUACAAAAAUUAGCUGGGCAUGGUGCCACACGCCUGUAAUCCCAGCUACUUGGGAGGCUGAGGCAUGAGAAUCACUUGAACCCAGGAGGCAGAGGUUGCAGUGAGCUGAGAUAGUGCCACUGCACUUCAGCCUGGGUGACAGAGCAAGACUCUGUCUCAAAAUAAUAAUAAUAAUAAUUGAAGGCAACAUAGGAUAUUAUUUUUAUAAUAUCAGAAUAGAGAAGACUUUCUUAGAUCUGAUAUAUGUGAAAAAGAAGGAGGAGAAAUAGAAGCAAAGAAUCCCCAAAUGAAAAGAUUAAUACAUUUGACUAUUUGGAAUAUAAAACGUUUCUACAUAGGAAAAAAAAAUAGUAUUGGCCAUGCACAGUGGCUCAUGCCUAUUAACCGCAUAUGUUAGGAGGUUGAGGUAGGAGGAUCACUUGAAGCCUGGAGUUCCAGACCAUCCUGGGCAAGACAGAAUGACCCCUUCUCAACAACAACAACAACAAUUAGCUGGGGAUGGUGGUGGGUGCCUAUAGUUCCAGCUACUUGGGAGCCUCCCUCAGGAGGAUCCUCUCAGCAGGAGGAUCGCUUGGCCUGAGGAGUUCAAAGCUGCAGUGAGUACAAUGGCACCACUGCACUCCAGCCUGAGCAACAGAGUGAGACCCCAUCUCUAAAAAAAAAAUUAAAAUUAAAAUUAAACAUUAAGCAAAUAAACGACAAACUGGAAAAAUGCAUUUGUACUGUAUAACAAAAGGAGUUAAUUUCCUUAACAUAUAAAAAUCUUCUAGAAAUCAACAACAGAGGCCAGGCACGGUGGCUUACGCCUGUGAUCCCAGCACUUUGGGAGGUCAAGGUGGGUGGAUCACCUGAGGUCAGGAGUUUGAGCCUAGCCUGGCCAACAUGGUGAAACCCCGUCUCUACUAAAAAUACAAAAAAUUAGCUGGGUGUGGUGAUGGGCGCCUGUAAUCCCAGCUACUCGGGAGGCUGAGGCAGGAGAAUCACUUGAACCCAGGAGGCGGAGGUUGCAGUGAACUGAGAUUAUGCCACUGCACUCCAG